AGAGUUUGAUCCUGGCUCAGGAUGAACGCUGGCGGCGUGCUUAACACAUGCAAGUCGAACGAAGCACUUUAUUAUGAUUUCUUCGGAAUGACGAUUUAGUAACUGAGUGGCGGACGGGUGAGUAACGCGUGGGUGACCUGCCUUAUACAGGGGGAUAACAGUUAGAAAUGACUGCUAAUACCGCAUAAGCGCACAGGAUUGCAUGAUCUGGUGUGAAAAACUCCGGUGGUAUAAGAUGGACCCG
RNAcentral lists this ribosomal RNA (244 nucleotides) under uncultured bacterium. RNAcentral describes it as "partial 16S ribosomal RNA". It matches the Rfam family "Bacterial small subunit ribosomal RNA", at positions 8 to 233 of the family's 1533-position model. The record is from RNAcentral.